UUUCCGUAGGUGAACCUGCGGAAGGAUCAUUAUUGUAUAACCGAGGUGCGAGGGCUGCCGCUGACCGGAAACGUCGUGCACGCCCGAGUGCCCUCACCCACAUCCAUCUCACCCCUUUGUGCACCACCGCGUGGGUCCCCCUUUGGCUUGUUCGGAGGGGGGCUUACGUUUUCACACAAACUUUGUAUGCUGUGUAGAAUGUAUUUUUUGUUUUUGCGGUCACGCAAUCAAUACAACUUUCAACAACGGAUCUCUUGGCUCUC
Molecule: unclassified non-coding RNA, 263 nt
Filed under: plant metagenome
Description: partial contains small subunit ribosomal RNA, internal transcribed spacer 1, and 5.8S ribosomal RNA
Source: RNAcentral